GAAAAUAGAUUGACCCCUUUCUCUUUCUGGCAGCCCCUCAAAUAUUGGAAGACUGCUAUCAUGUCUCCCCUGGACUUUCUCUUUCUCUUCACUAGACUCGCCAUGCUUAGUUCCUGUAAUGGUUCUUCAUAUGUUUUAGUUUCAGUCCCCUA
This is a non-coding RNA of Pseudonaja textilis, 152 nucleotides long. NCBI's taxonomy places the organism in Eukaryota, Metazoa, Chordata, Lepidosauria, Squamata, Elapidae. The record is from RefSeq and is a predicted model, not a curated record.